RNAcentral lists this ribosomal RNA (440 nucleotides) under uncultured bacterium. RNAcentral's name for it is "partial 16S ribosomal RNA". It matches the Rfam family "Bacterial small subunit ribosomal RNA", at positions 338 to 795 of the family's 1533-position model. The record is from RNAcentral.
CCUACGGGCGGCAGCAGUGGGGAAUAUUGGACAAUGGGGGAAACCCUUAUCCAGCGACGCCGCGUGAGGGAAGAAGGUUUUCGGAUUGUAAACCUCUGUCAGUGGGGACGAUAAUGACGGUUCCCACGGAGGAAGCCACGGCUAACUACGUGCCAGCAGCCGCGGUAAUACGUAGGUGGCAAGCGUUGUCCGGAAUUACUGGGUGUAAAGGGAGCGUAGGCGGGAGGUCAAGUCAGAAGUGAAAAUUACGGGCUCAACUCAUAACCUGCUUUUGACACUGAUAUUCUUGAGUGAAGUAGAGGCAAGCGGAGUUCGUGGGGUAGCGGUGAAAUGCGGAGAUAUUAGGAGGAACGCCAGUGGCGAAGGCGGCUUGCUGGGCUUUUACUGACGCGGAGGCUCGAAAGCGUGGGGAGCAAACAGGAUUAGAUACCCCAGUAGUC